This is a long non-coding RNA of Castor canadensis (American beaver), 320 nucleotides long. The record is from Ensembl. Lineage: Eukaryota; Metazoa; Chordata; Mammalia; Rodentia; Castoridae.
CCUCCUGCCGCACUGGCCGCCGUGGGUGCGGGGGAGGGGUGGGGGGGGCAGCUUGGCGGUGACGCGCGGCCCUCACGUGACCCGGAGCUGCAGAGCGACGCAGCCCUGGGUGCAGUCGUCACUCGCGUCUGGCUACCAGCUCCCCGCUGCCCUGCGCACGGCGGGCUGGCAUCGGGCCCGGGGAAAGCGGAGCAGAUCUACCGGGCCGAGUGUCGCGGCGGCACCGAAUCAGAAGGAGAGGCAAGGAUAGGCCCAGGUUGGUGAGUAGGGCACCGCUGGGGGCGAGGGCAAGGGGUCGGGGACGUAUGGAAAGACCAGUA